This 72-nucleotide transfer RNA is filed under the name Elops saurus (ladyfish). Its description in RNAcentral is "tRNA-Thr". It matches the Rfam family "tRNA". From Rfam's summary of the family: Transfer RNA (tRNA) molecules are approximately 80 nucleotides in length. The record is from RNAcentral. Lineage: Eukaryota; Metazoa; Chordata; Actinopteri; Elopiformes; Elopidae. RNAcentral also lists the same sequence under 1 other name.
CACUCAGUAGCUUAGACGACAAAGCACCGGUCUUGUAAUCCGGAGCCGGAGGCUAAAAUCCUCCCUAGUGCU